This 109-nucleotide small RNA is filed under the name uncultured Enterobacter sp. Its description in RNAcentral is "ArcZ RNA". It matches the Rfam family "ArcZ RNA". Rfam says of the family: This RNA was discovered in E. coli during a large scale screen. SraH expression is highly abundant in stationary phase, but low levels could be detected in exponentially growing cells as well. Lineage: Bacteria; Pseudomonadati; Pseudomonadota; Gammaproteobacteria; Enterobacterales; Enterobacteriaceae. The record is from RNAcentral.
GUGCGGCCUCAAUAUUCAGGCGGCGUCCUAAGCGAAAACAACACAAACAAAUCAGGCGCAGCCGCGAUUUCCCUGGUGUUGGCGCAGUAUUCGCGCACCCCGGUUAAGC